GACGAACGCUGGCGGCGUGCUUAACACAUGCAAGUCGAACGGAAAGGCCCUGCUUUUGUGGGGUGCUCGAGUGGCGAACGGGUGAGUAACACGUGAGUAACCUGCCCUUGACUUUGGGAUAACUUCAGGAAACUGGGGCUAAUACCGGAUAGGAGCUCCUGCUGCAUGGUGGGGGGUGGAAAGUUUCGGCGGUUGGGGAUGGACUCGCGGCUUAUCAGCUUGUUGGUGGGGUGGUGGCUUACCAAGGCUUUGACGGGUAGCCGGCCUGAGAGGGUGACCGGCCACAUUGGGACUGAGAUACGGCCCAGACUCCUACGGGAGGCAGCAGUGGGGAAUAUUGCACAAUGGGCGGAAGUCUGAUGCAGCAACGCCGCGUGCGGGAUGACGGCUUUCGGGUUGUAAACCGCUUUCGCCUGUGACGAAGCGUGAGUGACGGUAAUGGGUAAAGAAGCACCGGCUAACUACGUG
Molecule: ribosomal RNA, 468 nt
Filed under: uncultured bacterium
Lineage: Bacteria
Description: partial 16S ribosomal RNA
Rfam family: Bacterial small subunit ribosomal RNA
Source: RNAcentral